UGGAGCACUUGCAUUUUACUAACUAGUUUGGAUAAAAGUUAUCUUUAACAUAAAUUUUUGAGAAAAGGACAUACGUGUAGUAUUCCUUAUCGAGCCCUAUGUUGUUUUUUCCUAAUAUUAGAAUAAUGCAAAAAGAUCGAACAAAAAAAUAGUACAUCAUAAAAAGGGAAAGUCUUUUUGCAAAGAAGGCUUCUUUUUACUGGAAUUAUAGUUUGAACUAUUUUUUUUGUCCUAGUUUUUAUUUCAUGUUACUGGUACGAUAUUGAAUGCCACCUUUUUUUUUUAUUUUUUGUAGUUUUUAAUGGAGUUCAAUGCUUAUAGAUAUAGAGGACCGACACAUUUUUAAGACGGUCUGAAAUUAUCUUCAAGAGCGAGUAGGGAGAAAGAAUCUCUCGAGUCUUCUACACAGAAAAUUGUUCUUCCAAGCUUCCUCUUCCUCGAUGACUACUGAGUUGAUUUUAUGCCUUAGUCAUACUAUUCUGAUUAGCAUUUCUAAAUCAUCCUAUAAAAGCUAUGCCCAAUCAUCAUUCCAAACCUUCAUUUUUGGCCCUGGCACAUAAUGAAUUUGAAUUUCCAGAUGCCUUAAUCUUCCUAUCCUCAACUCCUUGUUAUACACUUGGGGUGUUGUUAUACACUUGGGUGGCCAAAACCCCUUGUUAUACACUUGGAUGGCUGAUGGGGAUCGUUAUUCAUUCUUGAUAGAGUUUGAUCUAACUGAAUGUGCUAUCCUCAACCACCUUCUUAUACACUUGUGUGGUUCAUGACUAUCGUUAUUCAUCCUUGUUAUAUAUUUGGGGGUGGUUCAUGUUGUUGAUAGGGGAUCGUUAUUCAUUGUUGAUAGAGUUUGACCUAACUGAAUGUGCUAUCCUCAACCACCUUAUACACUUGUGUGGUUGAUGACUAUCGUUAUUAACGCCUAGGCUUUAUGAAAACAAAAUAAAGCCUUAUCUCAAAUUUGUUUCUAUAAAUCACUUUCGACAAAAGAAAUCUCCAUGAUGGAUCUAAAAUCAAUUUUUAACACCAACAAUAAAAUUUGAAAUUAAAAAAAUGAUACAAAUAUUAAAGAUCCAAGAUAUUUUUAGGGAA
This 1086-nucleotide long non-coding RNA is filed under the name Amborella trichopoda. RNAcentral's name for it is "long non-coding RNA (ATRI_LNC004567)". Lineage: Eukaryota; Viridiplantae; Streptophyta; Magnoliopsida; Amborellales; Amborellaceae. The record is from RNAcentral.